Molecule: non-coding RNA, 225 nt
Organism: Paramuricea clavata
Lineage: Eukaryota; Metazoa; Cnidaria; Anthozoa; Malacalcyonacea; Plexauridae
Source: the annotation of a GenBank genome assembly
AAACAGAAUUAGCUAAAACAUCUUGCUAACAGAUCGCCAACACAAACGUGCAUACAAAAUUACAAAUAUGACAUUGCAAACAGCAGAACAUAUCUUAUUUAUGCUGGUCGUUUCGUUUUGUAUUAACUAUUAAUACCGUAUUUAAUGGAAUAUUAUUGAAUGGAUAUUUUUAAUUUUGGCAAGUACUGUAGUGUAAAUUAUUUACGAGAAAAUGUCAUAUUCCAC